Molecule: long non-coding RNA, 221 nt
Filed under: Bos mutus (wild yak)
Lineage: Eukaryota; Metazoa; Chordata; Mammalia; Artiodactyla; Bovidae
Description: lncRNA (ENSBMUG00000017197.1)
Source: RNAcentral
UUGCUCAGGCGCUGUCCACGCCCCGAGGCCUGGGCUCGGGCCAAAGUUGCUUCACAACACCCCCAGCUGACAGCCAGCGACUGGCAGAGCCCCCAGGCACGGGGGCCCUCUCUCUUCCAGACAUCUCCAGUGUGACAGCCCAGGCGGCAGAGCCGAGGGUGAGUGACCAGGGUUUGCCUCAGGGGUGGGGCAAGAAGGAAGAGGCCGUGUCCUUGACAGGA